This 95-nucleotide small RNA is filed under the name Carlito syrichta (Philippine tarsier). Its description in RNAcentral is "Y RNA (ENSTSYG00000025457.1)". Lineage: Eukaryota; Metazoa; Chordata; Mammalia; Primates; Tarsiidae. The record is from RNAcentral.
GGCUGACCUGAUGGUAGUGGGCUAUCAGAACUUAUUUACAUUAGUGUCACCAAAGUUGGCAUAUAACCCUUCACUGCUAAAUUUGACUGCCUUAA